Molecule: ribosomal RNA, 253 nt
Filed under: uncultured bacterium
Lineage: Bacteria
Description: partial 16S ribosomal RNA
Rfam family: Bacterial small subunit ribosomal RNA
Source: RNAcentral
UACAGAGGUCUCAAGCGUUGUUCGGAUUCAUUGGGCGUAAAGGGCGUGUAGGCGGCGCGCUAAGUCGGGUGUGAAAUUUCGGAGCUUAACUCCGAAACUGCAUUCGAUACUGGCGUGCUUGAGGACUGGAGAGGAAACUGGAAUUUACGGUGUAGCAGUGAAAUGCGUAGAGAUCGUAAGGAAGACCAGUGGCGAAGGCGAGUUUCUGGACGGUAACUGACGCUGAGGCACGAAGGCCAGGGGAGCAAACGGG